Molecule: long non-coding RNA, 768 nt
Filed under: Mus caroli (Ryukyu mouse)
Lineage: Eukaryota; Metazoa; Chordata; Mammalia; Rodentia; Muridae
Description: predicted gene 13049 (MGP_CAROLIEiJ_G0005971.1)
Source: RNAcentral
AGAUUUCUAAUGAGCCCUGGCCCGGUCUGCAGCUCACUCUGCACCUGGCUUAACCCCUUCCUGCCUGCAGGUCCUGAGUCCACCUUCAGUGGAAAAUCGCCCUGUCUAACUGCUGUAGGUAACCCUGCACGCCAUCCAUCUAUUUGGGCCGAAUCAUGUCGGGCCUGAGCGAGCUGACGUGGAACAUCGCUGCCCUUCGCUGAAAAGCUGUUUGCUAAUUCUAAAGGCCAGAAGGAUGCAUAUGCUCCAUUCGGUCAGCAAUGUGAUCAGAAUCCAUGGAAAGAGCACCAAGAAGCAGUGGGAAAGUAUGUUGGGUCAGAACUUGACCUACAUGGGAACAGGAACGGAGCCCAAGGGACAUGGUCGAGGUCAUGGGAAUGGAGGGAAGCAAACAGAAGACCCUGGGUGUACAGCCCUGUUCCGUGCUAACAGACAUGGGAGGUAGAGAUAAGAGGAGGCGAGUGGCGCUAACCAGGAGAGAGAGAACCCCGGAGAACCUGUAAGAUCCUGCUCCCGUGGGAUGUUCACCCCUUCAGAGCCUAACAGAGCUCCUCACGAUGGUCUAGACACCCCCCACACCCCCCACCCCUGCCAGGACACAUAAGAGCCAGAUGGAAAAGCCACUGACUAAAUUAAAACACACUAAUUGGGCAUUGAAUUUCUGCUGGAAAUGCCCCCUCCCAGCGUCACUGGUGAGGUACUGUGUGGGUGUCGGAUGUACGACUAAGAGGAAAUUCUUCCUUUCUGAACAAAUAAAUCAUUUGGAAC